RNAcentral lists this ribosomal RNA (295 nucleotides) under uncultured bacterium. Its description in RNAcentral is "partial 16S ribosomal RNA". It matches the Rfam family "Bacterial small subunit ribosomal RNA", at positions 773 to 1060 of the family's 1533-position model. The record is from RNAcentral.
UUGGAUUAGAUACCCGAGUAGUCCACGCUGUAAACGAUGGGCACUAGGUGUGGGGGGUAUCCACUCCUCCCGUGCCGCAGCUAACGCAUUAAGUGCCCCGCCUGGGGAGUACGGCCGCAAGGCUAAAACUCAAAGGAAUUGACGGGGGCCCGCACAAGCGGUGGAGCAUGUGGUUUAAUUCGACGCAACGCGAAGAACCUUACCUGGGCUUGACAUCCCGGGAAUCCCCUGGAAACAGGGGAGUGCCCUCGUAAGGGGGAGCCCGGAGACAGGUGCUGCAUGGUCGUCGCCAACU